Molecule: transfer RNA, 87 nt
Filed under: Polymorphobacter sp.
Lineage: Bacteria; Pseudomonadati; Pseudomonadota; Alphaproteobacteria; Sphingomonadales; Sphingosinicellaceae
Also listed under: 1 other name
Description: tRNA-Leu
Rfam family: tRNA
About the family: Transfer RNA (tRNA) molecules are approximately 80 nucleotides in length. Their secondary structure includes four short double-helical elements and three loops (D, anti-codon, and T loops). Further hydrogen bonds mediate the characteristic L-shaped molecular structure. tRNAs have two regions of fundamental functional importance: the anti-codon, which is responsible for specific mRNA codon recognition, and the 3' end, to which the tRNAs corresponding amino acid is attached (by aminoacyl-tRNA synthetases). tRNAs cope with the degeneracy of the genetic code in two manners: having more than one tRNA (with a specific anti-codon) for a particular amino acid; and 'wobble' base-pairing, i.e. permitting non-standard base-pairing at the 3rd anti-codon position.
Source: RNAcentral
GCCCAGGUGGCGGAAUUGGUAGACGCGCCAGCUUCAGGUGCUGGUAUUGGAAACGAUGUGAAGGUUCGAGUCCUUUCCUGGGCACCA